UUAAAUUUUUGUCAAAAACAAGAAUUUUCGUAACUGGAAAUUUUAAAAUAUUAAAAACUUUCAACAACGGAUCUCUUGGUUCUCGCAUCGAUGAAGAACGCAGCGAAAUGCGAUACGUAAUGUGAAUUGCAGAAUUCCGUGAAUCAUCGAAUCUUUGAACGCACAUUGCGCCCCUUGGUAUUCCAGGGGGCAUGCCUGUUUGAGCGUCAUUUCCUUCUCAAACAUUCUGUUUGGUAGUGAGUGAUACUCUUUGGAGUUAACUUGAAAUUGCUGGCCUUUUCAUUGGAUGUUUUUUUUCCAAAGAGAGGUUUCUCUGCGUGCUUGAGGUAUAAUGCAAGUACGGUCGUUUUAGGUUUUACCAACUGCGGCUAAUCUUUUUUUAUACUGAGCGUAUUGGAACGUUAUCGAUAAGAAGAGAGCGUCUAGGCGAACAAUGUUCUUAAAGUUUGACCUCAAAUCAGGUAGGAGUACCCGCUGAACUUAAGCAUAUCAAUAAGCGGAGGA
RNAcentral lists this ribosomal RNA (504 nucleotides) under uncultured Saccharomyces. Its description in RNAcentral is "eukaryotic LSU rRNA". The stretch from base 56 to 209 matches the Rfam family "5.8S ribosomal RNA". Lineage: Eukaryota; Fungi; Ascomycota; Saccharomycetes; Saccharomycetales; Saccharomycetaceae. The record is from RNAcentral.